Molecule: ribozyme, 69 nt
Filed under: unclassified sequences
Description: HDV ribozyme from F. prausnitzii
Rfam family: HDV ribozyme from F. prausnitzii
Source: RNAcentral
GCCGUCCAGAUAUGCCGCCUCUACGUGGCGGAUGGCAGGCAACGAGGAGGCUUCUCGGCUAAAACAUAU